Molecule: long non-coding RNA, 301 nt
Filed under: Elaeis guineensis (African oil palm)
Lineage: Eukaryota; Viridiplantae; Streptophyta; Magnoliopsida; Arecales; Arecaceae
Description: long non-coding RNA (EGUI_LNC030001)
Source: RNAcentral
GUCACAAGAAAAGAUAUCCUUAAAAUUAUAUAAAUAUAAAUGAAUUAUAAAGAUGUAACUUUUACUAAUAUUUGCACUAGAAAGAGUUGGCAAUGUAUUUUCACCCGAGAGAGAGCCGGUGACGUAUUUGCGAUGGAGAGAAAGAGAGCUAGUGAUGUGUUUAUAUAGGAGAUAAAGAUCCGAUGACGUAUGUGACAAGGAGACAGAACAGGGAGGUGUUUUCGCAGAAGAGAGACGUCGAAGUUUCUUCUGAUGAGAAAUAGAGGGAGAGAGAGGAAGAAAUCUAUUUUGGCGGUGAGAG